GACGAACGCUGGCGGCGUGCUUAACACAUGCAAGUCGAACGGAAAGGCCUCUUUCGGGGGGUACUCGAGUGGCGAACGGGUGAGUAACGCGUGAGUAACCUGCCCUUGACUUUGGGAUAACUUCAGGAAACUGGGGCUAAUACCGGAUAGGAGCUCCUGCUGCAUGGUGGGGGUUGGAAAGUUUCGGCGGUUGGGGAUGGACUCGCGGCUUAUCAGCUUGUUGGUGGGGUAGUGGCUUACCAAGGCUUUGACGGGUAGCCGGCCUAAGAGGGUGACCGGCCACAUUGGGACUGAGAUACGGCCCAGACUCCGACGGGAGGCAGCAGUGGGGAAGAUUGCACAAUGGGUGGAAGCCUGAUGCAGCAACGCCGUGUGCGGGAUGACGGCCUUCGGGUUGUAAACCGCUUUCGCUCAUGACGAAGCUUUGUGUGACGGUAGUGGGUAAAGAAGCACCGGCUAACUACGUG
This 467-nucleotide ribosomal RNA is filed under the name uncultured bacterium. Its description in RNAcentral is "partial 16S ribosomal RNA". It matches the Rfam family "Bacterial small subunit ribosomal RNA", at positions 28 to 507 of the family's 1533-position model. The record is from RNAcentral.